AUUUUAAUAGUUUACUCUGAAAUAUUAUGUAUAGAACGUAGCACUGAAGAUGCUAAGGAAGCAGACCGGUCUGAAAACA
RNAcentral lists this transfer RNA (79 nucleotides) under Korotnewia korotnewi. RNAcentral describes it as "tRNA-Phe". The record is from RNAcentral. Lineage: Eukaryota; Metazoa; Mollusca; Gastropoda; Littorinimorpha; Baicaliidae.